GAUGAACGCUGGCGGCGUGCUUAACACAUGCAAGUCGAACGAUGGUCCGGUGCUUGCGCCGGGGAUUAGUGGCGAACGGGUGAGUAACACGUGAGUAACCUGCCCUUGACUCUGGGAUAAGCCUGGGAAACUGGGUCUAAUACCGGAUAUGACUCCUCAUCGCAUGGUGGGGGGUGGAAAGCUUUUUGUGGUUUUGGAUGGACUCGCGGCCUAUCAGCUUGUUGGUGGGGUAAUGGCCUACCAAGGCGACGACGGGUAGCCGGCCUGAGAGGGUGACCGGCCACACUGGGACUGAGACACGGCCCAGACUCCUACGGGAGGCAGCAGUGGGGAAUAUUGCACAAUGGGCGAAAGCCUGAUGCAGCGACGCCGCGCGAGGGAUGACGGCCUUCGGGUUGUAAACCUCUUUCAGUAGGGAAGAAGCCCUCUUUGGGGGUGACGGUACUUGCAGAAGAAGCGCCGGCUAACUACGUG
This 474-nucleotide ribosomal RNA is filed under the name uncultured bacterium. RNAcentral describes it as "bacterial SSU rRNA". It matches the Rfam family "Bacterial small subunit ribosomal RNA", at positions 28 to 507 of the family's 1533-position model. The record is from RNAcentral.